GGGGAUGUAUUGCUUUGACGUAUGGCGCUCAUUAACAUCGGCAGGUCAUCUUUGAUAAAAGAUGUAAAACAGAUCAAAAUAUAACUGCAAAUUUAUAUAGCAGAACACUCGCAAAGGUACGUAGUGUCGCCAACAAUAUUGCUGACUUCUUCACUAUUACCCCAGCAAGUCCAGCCUACCUAGCGUAACUGGCAUUCAGCAUUUCACUCUCAUGGGUGGUGAGUGUUGGGUGGGAACCCAGCCCGUGUGACUUGAUAAACUGUUCGGUUUGUUUAUCACUAAGCCAAUAACGACCGAGGUUGUCGCUGUAUGGUUUGACCAUUUACCGCAGCGGCAAUUAACCAAAGAUGUUCUAUACCUGUAGAUGUUGUUAUUGUUCACGUACGGACGGGGGUUCGUUGCCCCCCAUCUCCACAA
RNAcentral lists this transfer-messenger RNA (417 nucleotides) under Patescibacteria group. Its description in RNAcentral is "UM-FILTER-42-14 sp009991965 X3 Standard tmRNA". It matches the Rfam family "transfer-messenger RNA". From Rfam's summary of the family: Bacterial tmRNA, also known as 10Sa RNA or SsrA, is named for its dual tRNA and mRNA-like properties. Its role is to liberate the mRNA from a stalled ribosome. To accomplish this part of the tmRNA is used as a reading frame that ends in a translation stop signal. The record is from RNAcentral. RNAcentral also lists the same sequence under 2 other names.